AUUGAACGCUGGCGGCAGGCCUAACACAUGCAAGUCGAGCGAGUGGCGGACGGGUGAGUAAUGUAUGGGGAUCUGCCUGAUAGAGGGGGAUAACUACUGGAAACGGUGGCUAAUACCGCAUACCAUCAGAUGAACCCAUAUGGGAUUAGCUUGUGGGUGAGGUAACGGCUCACCUAGCCGACGAUCCCUAGCUGGUCUGAGAGGAUGAUCAGCCACACUGGGACUGAGACACGGCCCAGACUCCUACGGGAGGCAGCAGUGGGGAAUAUUGCGCAAUGGGGGCAAGCCUGAUGCAGCCAUGCCGCGUGAAUGAAGAAGGCCUUCGGGUUGUAAAGUACUUUCAGUAGGGAGGCGUUACCGACAGAAGAAGCACCGGCUAACUCCGUGCCAGCAGCCGCGGUAAUUC
RNAcentral lists this ribosomal RNA (406 nucleotides) under uncultured bacterium. Its description in RNAcentral is "partial 16S ribosomal RNA". It matches the Rfam family "Bacterial small subunit ribosomal RNA", at positions 30 to 526 of the family's 1533-position model. The record is from RNAcentral.